UGGGGAAUAUUGGACAAUGGAGGAAACUCUGAUCCAGCAAUUCUGUGUGUGUGAAGAAGGUUUUAGGACUGUAAAACACUUUUAGUAGGGAAGAAAAAAAUGACGGUACCUACAGAAGAAGCAACGGCUAAAUACGUGCCAGCAGCCGCGGUAAUACGUAUGUUGCGAGCGUUAUCCGGAAUUAUUGGGUUUAAAGGGUGCGUAGGUUGCAAGGGAAGUCAGGGGUGAAAAGCUAUAGCUCAACUAUGGUCUUGCCUUUGAAACUCUCUAGCUAGAGUGUACUGGAGGUACGUGGAACGUGUGGUGUAGCGGUGAAAUGCAUAGAUAUCACACAGAACUCCGAUUGCGCAGGCAGCGUACUACAUUACAACUGACACUGAAGCACGAAAGCGUGGGUAUCAAACAGG
RNAcentral lists this ribosomal RNA (407 nucleotides) under Verrucomicrobiota bacterium. RNAcentral describes it as "Verrucomicrobia bacterium partial 16S ribosomal RNA". It matches the Rfam family "Bacterial small subunit ribosomal RNA", at positions 355 to 776 of the family's 1533-position model. Lineage: Bacteria; Pseudomonadati; Verrucomicrobiota. The record is from RNAcentral.